RNAcentral lists this ribosomal RNA (576 nucleotides) under uncultured eukaryote. RNAcentral describes it as "SSU rRNA". It matches the Rfam family "Eukaryotic small subunit ribosomal RNA", at positions 203 to 794 of the family's 1831-position model. The record is from RNAcentral.
UAUUUAUUAGAUAACAGGCCAAUAUUCCUCGUGUCUAUUGUGGUGACUCAUAGUAACUGAUCGGAUCGCAUGGCCUUGUGCCGCGACUAACCAUUCAAGUUUCUGACCCAUCAGCUUUCGAUGGUAGUGUAUUGGACUACCAUGGCUUUCACGGGUAACGGAGGAUUAGGGUUCGAUUCCGGAGAGGGAGCCUGAGAAACGGCUACCACAUCUAAGGAAGGCAGCAGGCGCGUAAAUUACCCAAUCCUGACUCAGGGAGGUAGUGACAAGAAAUAACGGGUCGGGGCAUUCGCCUCGGGAUUGCAAUGAAUCGAAUUUACACCCCUUAAUGAGGAUCAAUUGGAGGGCAAGUCUGGUGCCAGCAGCCGCGGUAAUUCCAGCUCCAAUAGCGUAUAUUAAAGUUGUUGCAGUUAAAAAGCUCGUAGUUUGAUUUCUGGACGGGCGCCAACACCCGCUUGUUUAGUGUGGAGGCGGCGCCCGCCCAUCCUUCUGUUAACGCCACCGGCAUUCGUUUGCUGGCGGCGGGCUCAGAUAUUUUACCUUGAGAAAAUUAGAGUGUUUCACGCAGGCUUGCGC